CAAUCAAACCAUUGUUUACAAGGGCAUGCUUCGUUCAGAAGUUCUUGGGUUAUUUUAUUCUGACCUUCAGAAUGAUCUUUAUAAGUCUCCAUUUGCCAUUUAUCACCGAAGGUAUAGCACAAAUACUAGUCCUAGAUGGCCUCUUGCUCAACCAAUGAGGUUUCUUGGUCAUAAUGGAGAGAUCAAUACCGUACAGGUUAGUUUCGCUGUAAAUUUCAAGUUUGUCUAAUAAUAUUAUUUCCAUUAUGACAAAUAUGAUUAAUGAGCCAUGUUUGUUCUCUCUGUCCUACUCUGAACCUUAUGCAGGGGAACUUGAAUUGGAUGCAGUCUCGUGAAACCUCAUUGAAGUCCCCUGUUUGGCGUGGUAGGGAAAAUGAAAUUCGCCCUUUUGGUAACCC
Molecule: long non-coding RNA, 398 nt
Filed under: Gossypium barbadense (sea-island cotton)
Lineage: Eukaryota; Viridiplantae; Streptophyta; Magnoliopsida; Malvales; Malvaceae
Description: long non-coding RNA (GBAR_LNC013775)
Source: RNAcentral